UGCAGAGGAUGUUUUUCUCACGAUGGUCUUCCAAGCCUGCAGGGCUCUGACGAAAGUGCCUUUUGGCAUUACUGAUGCAGUCCA
This 84-nucleotide small nucleolar RNA is filed under the name Xyrichtys novacula (pearly razorfish). It matches the Rfam family "Small nucleolar RNA SNORD35". Rfam says of the family: U35 is a C/D box snoRNA located in intron 6 of ribosomal protein L13A and intron 3 of ribosomal protein S11 in humans and at homologous positions in mouse and chicken ribosomal protein genes. U35 guides the methylation of 2'-O-ribose sites in 28S rRNA. The record is from RNAcentral. Lineage: Eukaryota; Metazoa; Chordata; Actinopteri; Labriformes; Labridae.